AUACUUACCUGGACGGGGUCUAUGGUCGAUCAUGAAGGAUCAUGGCCUAGGUAGGCGGUCUCCAUUGCACUCAGGAGAUGCGCCAGCCUAACAUCUCCCCAAGUGGGAGAGUGUACGUCAUAAUUUGUGACAGCGGGGGCCUGCGUUCGCGCGGCCCCUAC
Molecule: small nuclear RNA, 161 nt
Organism: Vitis vinifera (wine grape)
Lineage: Eukaryota; Viridiplantae; Streptophyta; Magnoliopsida; Vitales; Vitaceae
Rfam family: U1 spliceosomal RNA
About the family: U1 is a small nuclear RNA (snRNA) component of the spliceosome (involved in pre-mRNA splicing). Its 5' end forms complementary base pairs with the 5' splice junction, thus defining the 5' donor site of an intron.
Source: Rfam